RNAcentral lists this small RNA (859 nucleotides) under Paraconiothyrium cyclothyrioides. RNAcentral's name for it is "eukaryotic LSU rRNA". It matches the Rfam family "Eukaryotic large subunit ribosomal RNA", at positions 50 to 926 of the family's 3401-position model. Lineage: Eukaryota; Fungi; Ascomycota; Dothideomycetes; Pleosporales; Didymosphaeriaceae. The record is from RNAcentral.
GCGGAGGAAAAGAAACCAACAGGGAUUGCCCUAGUAACGGCGAGUGAAGCGGCAACAGCUCAAAUUUGAAAUCUGGCUCUCUUUGGGGGUCCGAGUUGUAAUUUGCAGAGGAUGCUUUGGCAUUGGCGGCGGUCUAAGUUCCUUGGAACAGGACAUCGCAGAGGGUGAGAAUCCCGUACGUGGGCGCCUGCCUUUGCCGUGUAAAGCUCCUUCGACGAGUCGAGUUGUUUGGGAAUGCAGCUCUAAAUGGGAGGUAAAUUUCUUCUAAAGCUAAAUACCGGCCAGAGACCGAUAGCGCACAAGUAGAGUGAUCGAAAGAUGAAAAGUACUUUGGAAAGAGAGUCAAAAAGCACGUGAAAUUGUUGAAAGGGAAGCGCUUGCAGCCAGACUUGCCCGCAGUUGCUCACCUAGGCUUUGGCCUGGGGCACUCUUCUGCGGGCAGGCCAGCAUCAGUUUGGGCGGUCGGACAAAGGCCUCUGUCAAGUAUCUCCCUUCGGGGUGACCUUAUAGGGGAGGCGUAAUGCGACCAGCCCGGACUGAGGUCCGCGCAUCUGCUAGGAUGCUGGCGUAAUGGCUGUAAGCGGCCCGUCUUGAAACACGGACCAAGGAGUCUAACAUCUAUGCGAGUGUUUGGGUGUCAAGCCCGGGCGCGCAAUGAAAGUGAACGGAGGUGGGAACCCUUUGGGUGCACCAUCGACCGAUCCUGAUGUCUUCGGAUGGAUUUGAGUAAGAGCAUAGCUGUUGGGACCCGAAAGAUGGUGAACUAUGCUUGAAUAGGGUGAAGCCAGAGGAAACUCUGGUGGAGGCUCGCAGCGGUUCUGACGUGCAAAUCGAUCGUCAAAUUUGGGCAUAGGGGCGA